RNAcentral lists this transfer RNA (71 nucleotides) under Phrynosoma platyrhinos (Desert horned lizard). RNAcentral's name for it is "tRNA-OTHER". Lineage: Eukaryota; Metazoa; Chordata; Lepidosauria; Squamata; Phrynosomatidae. The record is from RNAcentral.
GUGUAAGUGCAUAGUGGUUUGAGUGUUGGACUAGGACUCUGGAGACCAGGGUUCGAUUCCCAGCUCGGCCA